ACUCCCUGUGGAUAACUGUCACACAGGUAUCAUUCAUGUCAAGGCAAAUUCUGGCAUCUCCUAACUACCCCUUUAAAUUUCUAGUUUAUAUUAUUGCCCAUGUAGGACCAGUCCAGUCCAAACCUAUGGUUAAGGACCAUAUCUCUCAGAGCAUCUACUCCAAAGUAGAUCAUCUUGGGAACACUCUGAGUGCUCUGGGGAUACUGAAGACAGAUCCAUCCAGCAUGAUCCCAUGAUCAUAGGUCAUCCCAUGAUCAUAAGUCAUCCCAUGAUCAUAGGUCACGGUUCCAUAAUUAAAAAUCACAACCCAGGGCCACUGGAGAAACCUAGCCAAUAAGUCCCAAGAAGUGACAUGGCUGGGGAGGCAGACCUGGGGGUUUACUGAGGGCUUCUGCUGGUCUAUCUGGGGCUAAUCAUCCAGGGUGGAGUCCUGCUAUCACCAUCUGUCAUGGGUCAGGUGAGGGACCUUAUACAUAUGUCCAGAAGGUGGGCCUAGUAGCCCCCUCGUGUUUAAGCCCUUAUAUGGCUGGGUGUAUUGUGGCUUUGCUGUGAGUUUCUCAAGCCUGAGAUAUGACUUGCCCAUGAAUUAUCUCCAUAUUUGAGGCUGGGCCAGUUGGUCAUGGCCAGGCCUGUGUGAAGUUUUCCACCUUAGCUCCCCUACCCCCAUUAUGAUCCCCUACCCAGGUCACCUGCCCAGAUCUUGAGAACUUGAGCAGUUUUGCCACAACCCUAGCUGAGAAUUGUCUCAGCUCCCAGCAACUUAGGCCUCAUUAACAACAUGGGUCCUCUCAGGUCUAAUAUAUCCUCCCCCAGAAUGCCUCACCCUAGCAGUGUCCUUAUAUUCUAUCUAUCACCACCCCCCCAACCUCUUGGGAUCUAUAUGAGUUAUAUAUUCAAUCCCCCUACUCCAGAUCUCAGCCUGUAAACCACGUCCUCUUUAAAAGACUCCAGACACAGCCCAAACAGACUGUCACCAGAGACCCUACCCCCCUCAGCAACCUAUGGCUGCUAGCAGAUCCUGUAGAUACCCAGAGAGUCCCAGACUUCCACAGAUCUCCUAGGAUCUGCCCUCACCUACAGUUCCAUGCCACAGACCCUUGGAGGCCUCAGACUACAGAUAUGGAUGGGCCAUGAGGGAGCUUUCCUUCUCUAACCUUUUGGCCUCUCUCAUGAAUUCUAGACCCUUCUCCAGCUUCACCACCUACUCCUAAACCACUUUCCUUCUACCUCUCUAUUCCUUCUAAGUCUCUAGCUUCUCCAAGGUAGGGGGUAACAAACACCUACCUUAUGGAUUUAUUGUGAGGAUGACAUUAAUAAUCUGAGAAGUACUUAGUAGAGUGCCUGACACACCUCAAGCCCUGCCUAUGGCAGCUAGUUGUUGAUUACAUGAUUUCUCUGGGUACCUUUCCUCCACCACCACCUCCCGCUGGCUCACCAGGUCCAAGUCUGAGCUCAUCCCUCCUUUACUCCACCCAGCUCUAAGGCUUCCUGCCUCUAGCCAAUACCCACAGCCAUCCAAGAUCCCUCCUUCUCCCUCAAUUCUGUCCAGCCAGCCUCCAAUUCCUGCCACUUGAUUCUCUUCUAUAUCCUGGAUAGUUCUCAACUUGAUUUUUAUUCUCCCUGCCCCCUACUGCCGUUUCUUCACAGCCUCUUUUGAAGGGGCUCUUGCCCUCAGGAUGUCCUCUGCAAUCAGCUUUCCACUGAGGAGCCAAGGGUUCUUCCCAAAACGCAGAACUGCACCCCUCUCUCCUCCGUCAACGUUCUCCACCUCCCUCCCCCAUGGCUACUAGAAUGGAACGCAAACCUCCCUGUGCACCUUUGCAUCAUCAGCUGGUCUUCCCCUCUGGCCCCUUCACCCGCAACCCCUAUGGCGAUGGGCAUUUCUCCCCUAACGGCCUGUAGGAAUCCUCCUCCUCUAGGAAUCUUCCCUGUCCACCCUCCCCAGACCAACCAGGCGCCCUCGCGUGCUCUCUCCCUCCCGGCCGAAGUGUCCUCUUGAGACCCGGCCCACAGCCCCGGGCUCGGGAGGGCCUCCCAACUCGUCAGUCCUCGGGGCUGCACGGCCAGCGCCCUCGGCCUGGACUGGGUCGGUUGGGUUCACUGCGGUCCCCUCCGGCUUCAGCGCGGGGCUGGCUGCUGGGCGGGUGUUUUGAAUGAGUGUGUGAGUGAGUCAAUCAGGAGUCCUCACGGACCCUGCAGACUGGGCGGAAGCCCAGUGGGGCCGCCUCCCGGCCGCUCCCCUGCCCCCGCGCCGGCUCCAGUGCGUGGCGUCUCCCGCGGGCCGAGAAGUAGCUGCAACUGGGAGACCCCGAGCCGGGCCGGCCGAGGCGCCCGCCGCCUCCUUCCGCUCGGAUCCCGCCGCCUCCGCCCCCUGCCGCCCGCUCUUUGUCUCCCGGCGCCCGGCUUCCCCGCCACGCGCCCCCGCACGCCCCUUCCCGGGAACCCCCGUCGACCCCGCGGACGCGACGCUGAGCGAAUCCGUCUCCCAGGCCGAGGCCCCGACCGGCCGGGUCGGCGGGGGCGGGGCGGGAGGUGGCGCUCCUCCGCUCGCGCGCGCGCUCGCUCCCUCACGCUCUCUCACAC
This 2583-nucleotide long non-coding RNA is filed under the name Marmota monax (woodchuck). Lineage: Eukaryota; Metazoa; Chordata; Mammalia; Rodentia; Sciuridae. The record is from RNAcentral.